GGAUGCGAUCAUACCAGCACUAAAGCACCGGAUCCCAUCAGAACUCCGAAGUUAAGCGUGCUUGGGCGAGAGUAGUAUUAGGAUGGGUGACCUCCUGGGAAGUCCUCAUGUUGCAUUCC
Molecule: ribosomal RNA, 119 nt
Filed under: Aegilops tauschii subsp. strangulata
Lineage: Eukaryota; Viridiplantae; Streptophyta; Magnoliopsida; Poales; Poaceae
Source: RNAcentral